RNAcentral lists this ribosomal RNA (464 nucleotides) under uncultured bacterium. RNAcentral describes it as "partial 16S ribosomal RNA". It matches the Rfam family "Bacterial small subunit ribosomal RNA", at positions 339 to 795 of the family's 1533-position model. The record is from RNAcentral.
CUACGGGUGGCUGCAGUGGGGAAUAUUGCACAAUGGGCGCAAGCCUGAUGCAGCCAUGCCGCGUGUAUGAAGAAGGCCUUCGGGUUGUAAAGUACUUUCAGCGGGGAGGAAGGGAGUAAAGUUAAUACCUUUGCUCAUUGACGUUACCCGCAGAAGAAGCACCGGCUAACUCCGUGCCAGCAGCCGCGGUAAUACGGAGGGUGCAAGCGUUAAUCGGAAUUACUGGGCGUAAAGCGCACGCAGGCGGUUUGUUAAGUCAGAUGUGAAAUCCCCGGGCUCAACCUGGGAACUGCAUCUGAUACUGGCAGUCUUGAGUGUCGUAGAGGGGGGUAGAAUUCCAGGUGUAGCGGUGAAAUGCGUAGAGAUCUGGAGGAAUACCGGUGGCGAAGGCGGCCCCCUGGACGAAGACUGACGCUCAGGUGCGAAAGCGUGGGGAGCAAACAGGAUUAGAUACCCGCGUAGUC